RNAcentral lists this small RNA (135 nucleotides) under Klebsiella pneumoniae. RNAcentral's name for it is "RtT sRNA". It matches the Rfam family "RtT RNA". Rfam says of the family: This family represents a bacterial cis-regulatory element known as RtT RNA. Lineage: Bacteria; Pseudomonadati; Pseudomonadota; Gammaproteobacteria; Enterobacterales; Enterobacteriaceae. The record is from RNAcentral.
CUUUUAAUCAAUUGGUCGCAGGUUCGAAUCGUCGAACCUGCAGCAGGUUCGGGUCGAACGUAGUGAGACAACGGAGCCGCUUGCGGCGACGGCCCGCAGGCGAGGCGAAGCCGAGUCAUCCUGCACGACCCACCA